CCUACGGGUGGCAGCAGUGGGGAAUACUGCACAAUGGGCGCAAGCCUGAUGCAGCCAUGCCGCGUGUGUGAAGAAGGCCUUCGGGUUGUAAAGCACUUUCAGCGGGGAGGAAGGCGGUGAGGUUAAUAACCUCAUCGAUUGACGUUACCCGCAGAAGAAGCACCGGCUAACUCCGUGCCAGCAGCCGCGGUAAUACGGAGGGCGCAAGCGUUAAUCGGAAUUACUGGGCGUAAAGCGCACGCAGGCGGUCUGUCAAGUCGGAUGUGAAAUCCCCGGGCUCAACCUGGGAACUGCAUUCGAAACUGGCAGGCUAGAGUCUUGUAGAGGGGGGUAGAAUUCCAGGUGUAGCGGUGAAAUGCGUAGAGAUCUGGAGGAAUACCGGUGGCGAAGGCGGCCCCCUGGACAAAGACUGACGCUCAGGUGCGAAAGCGUGGGGAGCAAACAGGAUUAGAUACCCGGGUAGUC
RNAcentral lists this ribosomal RNA (465 nucleotides) under uncultured Klebsiella sp. Its description in RNAcentral is "bacterial SSU rRNA". It matches the Rfam family "Bacterial small subunit ribosomal RNA", at positions 338 to 795 of the family's 1533-position model. The record is from RNAcentral. Lineage: Bacteria; Pseudomonadati; Pseudomonadota; Gammaproteobacteria; Enterobacterales; Enterobacteriaceae.